GGAAGAGCGACGUCCCCGGUGGGGCGCCUGGUCUUCAACACCAGUGAGGCGCUGACAAAGUGCCUGGUGGGUUCGACUCCUACCUCUUCCGCCA
RNAcentral lists this transfer RNA (94 nucleotides) under Halieaceae bacterium MED-G27. Its description in RNAcentral is "tRNA-Sec". It matches the Rfam family "Selenocysteine transfer RNA". Lineage: Bacteria; Pseudomonadati; Pseudomonadota; Gammaproteobacteria; Cellvibrionales; Halieaceae. RNAcentral also lists the same sequence under 1 other name. The record is from RNAcentral.